AUCGCUCAGUCGGUAAAGUGGGAGACUCUUAAUCUCAGGGCUGUGAGUUCAAGCCCCAUGUUGGAUA
Molecule: non-coding RNA, 67 nt
Organism: Podarcis lilfordi (Lilford's wall lizard)
Lineage: Eukaryota; Metazoa; Chordata; Lepidosauria; Squamata; Lacertidae
Source: the annotation of a GenBank genome assembly